This 553-nucleotide ribosomal RNA is filed under the name uncultured bacterium. RNAcentral describes it as "bacterial SSU rRNA". It matches the Rfam family "Bacterial small subunit ribosomal RNA", at positions 355 to 898 of the family's 1533-position model. The record is from RNAcentral.
UGGGGAAUUUUGGACAAUGGGCGCANCCNUGAUCCAGCAAUGCCGCGUGCAGGAAGAAGGCCUUCGGGUUGUAAACUGCUUUUGUCAGGGAAGAAAUCUUCUGGGCUAAUACCCCGGGAGGAUGACGGUACCUGAAGAAUAAGCACCGGCUAACUACGUGCCAGCAGCCGCGGUAAUACGUAGGGUGCGAGCGUUAAUCGGAAUUACUGGGCGUAAAGCGUGCGCAGGCGGCUUUGCAAGACAGAUGUGAAAUCCCCGGGCUCAACCUGGGAGCUGCAUUUGUGACUGCAAGGCUAGAGUACGGCAGAGGGGGAUGGAAUUCCGCGUGUANCAGUGAAAUGCNUANAUAUGCGGAGGAACACCAAUGGCGAAGGCAAUCCCCUGGGCCUGUACUGACGCUCAUGCACGAAAGCGUGGGGAGCAAACAGGAUUAGAUACCCUGGUAGUCCACGCCCUAAACGAUGUCAACUGGUUGUUGGACGGCUUGCUGUUCAGUAACGAAGCUAACGNCGUGAAAGUUGGACCGCCUGGGGAGUACGGCCGCAAGGNUUGA